This 542-nucleotide ribosomal RNA is filed under the name uncultured bacterium. RNAcentral describes it as "partial 16S ribosomal RNA". It matches the Rfam family "Bacterial small subunit ribosomal RNA", at positions 355 to 889 of the family's 1533-position model. The record is from RNAcentral.
UGGGGAAUUUUGGACAAUGGGCGAAANCCUGAUCCAGCAAUGCCGCGUGUGUGAAGAAGGCCUUCGGGUUGUAAAGCACUUUUGUCCGGAAAGAAAUCCUUGGCUCUAAUACAGUCGGGGGAUGACGGUACCGGAAGAAUAAGCACCGGCUAACUACGUGCCAGCAGCCGCGGUAAUACGUAGGGUGCAAGCGUUAAUCGGAAUUACUGGGCGUAAAGCGUGCGCAGGCGGUUUGCUAAGACCGAUGUGAAAUCCCCGGGCUCAACCUGGGAACUGCAUUGGUGACUGGCAGGCUAGAGUAUGGCAGAGGGGGGUAGAAUUCCACGUGUAGCAGUGAAAUGCGUAGAGAUGUGGAGGAAUACCGAUGGCGAAGGCAGCCCCCUGGGCCAAUACUGACGCUCAUGCACGAAAGCGUGGGGAGCAAACAGGAUUAGAUACCCUGGUAGUCCACGCCCUAAAACGAUGUCAACUAGUUGUUGGGGAUUCAUUUCCUUAGUAACGUAGCUAACGCGUGAAGUUGACCGCCUGGGGAGUACGGUCGC